Molecule: long non-coding RNA, 214 nt
Filed under: Elaeis guineensis (African oil palm)
Lineage: Eukaryota; Viridiplantae; Streptophyta; Magnoliopsida; Arecales; Arecaceae
Description: long non-coding RNA (EGUI_LNC049514)
Source: RNAcentral
UUCACCCAAACCCCAUGAAGUAAAUUCUUCAUUGAGAUCGGUAAGAAGAAGAUUUUGAAAUUACUCUAAAAUUUAGUCUGAUCUAAACCCUACUAAUCAUUGGGUUUUCUUAAUAAUUUAUCUCUCAGUAUCUUUAAAAUUAUCUAGACUGUUAAUUACUCAUUAAUUAGGGUGCUUAAUUAACUUCUAAUCAAAAUAAAGUUUGGAUACAUAC